This is a small RNA of Caenorhabditis briggsae, 69 nucleotides long. It matches the Rfam family "Nematode sRNA ceN72-3_ceN74-2". NCBI's taxonomy places the organism in Eukaryota, Metazoa, Nematoda, Chromadorea, Rhabditida, Rhabditidae. The record is from Rfam.
GUGUCCGGUCCGGCGUUGAUGGGUUAUCAAUUUCUGAACCCCUCCCAUUGGCACCCAUUUGACCGUUGA